ACUCCUACGGGAGGCAGCAGUGGGGAAUAUUGCACAAUGGGCGCAAGCCUGAUGCAGCCAUGCCGCGUGUAUGAAGAAGGCCUUCGGGUUGUAAAGUACUUUCAGCAGUGAGGAAGGUGGAGUCGUUAAUAGCGGCCUCAUUUGACGUUAGCUGCAGAAGAAGCACCGGCUAACUCCGUGCCAGCAGCCGCGGUAAUACGGAGGGUGCGAGCGUUAAUCGGAAUUACUGGGCGUAAAGCGCAUGCAGGUGGUUUGUUAAGUCAGAUGUGAAAGCCCGGGGCUCAACCUCGGAAUUGCAUUUGAAACUGGCAGACUAGAGUACUGUAGAGGGGGGUAGAAUUUCAGGUGUAGCGGUGAAAUGCGUAGAGAUCUGAAGGAAUACCGGUGCGAAGGCGGCCCCCUGGACAGAUACUGACACUCAGAUGCGAAAGCGUGGGGAGCAAACAGGAUUAGAUACCCUGGUAGGAUAGCG
RNAcentral lists this ribosomal RNA (472 nucleotides) under uncultured bacterium. RNAcentral's name for it is "bacterial SSU rRNA". It matches the Rfam family "Bacterial small subunit ribosomal RNA", at positions 335 to 799 of the family's 1533-position model. The record is from RNAcentral.